GAGGCAGCAGUGGGGAAUAUUGCGCAAUGGACGGAAGUCUGACGCAGCGACGCCGCGUGAGCGAUGAAGGCCUUCGGGUCGUAAAGCUCUGUUCUUGGGGACGAAAGGAUGACGGUACCCAAGGAGCAAGCCCCGGCUAACUACGUGCCAGCAGCCGCGGUAAUACGUAGGGGGCGAGCGUUGUCCGGAAUUACUGGGCGUAAAGGGCGUGUAGGCGGCUGAAUAAGUCAGGUGUGAAAGGCCCCGGCUUAACCGGGGUAUUGCACAUGAAACUGUUCGGCUUGAGUGCAGGAGAGGGAAGUGGAAUUCCUAGUGUAGCGGUGAAAUGCGUAGAUAUUAGGAGGAACACCAGUGGCGAAGGCGACUUUCUGGACUGUAACUGACGCUGAGGCGCGAAAGCGUGGGGAGCAAACAGGAUUAGAUACCCUGGUAGUCCACGCUGUAAACGAUGGAUACUAGGUGUGGGCAGUUCAC
Molecule: ribosomal RNA, 474 nt
Filed under: uncultured Clostridium sp.
Lineage: Bacteria; Bacillati; Bacillota; Clostridia; Eubacteriales; Clostridiaceae
Description: bacterial SSU rRNA
Rfam family: Bacterial small subunit ribosomal RNA
Source: RNAcentral